GAGGAAUCUUCCACAAUGGGGGCAACCCUGAUGGAGCAUCGCCGCGUGCAGGAUGAAGGCCUUCGGGUUGUAAACUGCUUUUAUUUGUGAAGAAUAUGACGGUAACAAAUGAAUAAGGGUCGGCUAACUACGUGCCAGCAGCCGCGGUCAUACGUAGGACCCAAGCGUUAUCCGGAGUGACUGGGCGUAAAGAGUUGCGUAGGUGGUUAUAUAAGUGAAUAGUGAAAGCUGGCGGCUCAACCGUACAGACUAUUAUUCAAACUGUAUAACUCGAGAAUGGUAGAGGUUACUGGAAUUUCUUGUGUAGGAGUGAAAUCCGUAGAUAUAAGUAGGAACACCAAUGGCGUAGGCAGGUAACUGGACCAUUUCUGACACUAAGGCACGAAAGCGUGGGGAGCGAACC
RNAcentral lists this ribosomal RNA (403 nucleotides) under uncultured Candidatus Saccharibacteria bacterium. Its description in RNAcentral is "bacterial SSU rRNA". It matches the Rfam family "Bacterial small subunit ribosomal RNA", at positions 356 to 774 of the family's 1533-position model. The record is from RNAcentral. Lineage: Bacteria; Candidatus Saccharimonadota.